Long non-coding RNA from Phyllostomus hastatus (greater spear-nosed bat), 461 nucleotides. RefSeq lists it as uncharacterized. The transcript is spliced from 3 exons. The record is from RefSeq and is a predicted model, not a curated record. NCBI's taxonomy places the organism in Eukaryota, Metazoa, Chordata, Mammalia, Chiroptera, Phyllostomidae.
GGCUCAUUAUCGCGCCCAUGCCAUUGGGUUCUGUUCGGGGUCCCACACCUGACAGUUUACGCGGGCUUUAGGGAAAGAGACGAGGAUUAUGAAGAAACCAGGGCCACUAAUCUGGAGAAAAAGCCAAUUUCUGCAGCUCUUUAAAGGCCUUUGGACUCUGCCUGAACUACACCACCGGCUUUCCUGGGUCUCCAGCCUGCAGACUGCAGAUUGCGGGACUUCUAGCUCCACGCGUGUGUAGGCCACAGAAGACAGCCCCAGGCCUUGCUUCAGCUGCUUCCUGCUGUUUGGUUACAUUGUGUCUUUUGGACAUAAGCCACACUACAACUUGAAGAGUUCUUUCAACACCAGCUCGUCCACUGAGGAAGCAUCAGUGAUGCGAUUCUCCAGGUAACUGGCUUGGAGGAGCUCAGGUAGGAGAGUGCUUGACAGCAAGGAGUGGUGAACAGGCCUGUAGCCAG